CACAAGGGGUGAAGCCUGCGGUUCAAUUGGAGUCAACGCCGGAAAUCUUACCGGGGGCGACAGCAGAGUGAAGGUCAAGCUGAAGACUUUACCAGACAAGCUGAGAGGAGGUGCAUGGCCGUCGCCAGCUCGUGCCGUGAGGUGUCCUGUUAAGUCGGGUAACGAGCGAGAUCCCUAUCUCUAGUUGCUACUGCUGCUCUCAGGAGUAGUAGAGCUAAUUAGAGGGACCGCCGCCGCUGAGGCGGAGGAAGGAGGGGGCUACGGCAGGUCAGUAUGCCCCGAAACCCUCGGGCCACACGCGGGCUGCAAUGGUAAGGACAAUGGGUUCCUAUUCCGAAAGGAGGAGGCAAUCCCCAAACCUUACCCCAGUUAUGAUUGAGGGCUGAAACUCGCCCUCAUGAAUAUGGAAUCCCUAGUAACCGCGUGUCNUCAUCGCGCGGUGAAUACGUCCCUGCUCC
RNAcentral lists this ribosomal RNA (458 nucleotides) under uncultured archaeon. RNAcentral's name for it is "bacterial SSU rRNA". It matches the Rfam family "Archaeal small subunit ribosomal RNA", at positions 880 to 1336 of the family's 1478-position model. The record is from RNAcentral.